RNAcentral lists this ribosomal RNA (1209 nucleotides) under Sphingobacterium anhuiense. RNAcentral describes it as "bacterial SSU rRNA". It matches the Rfam family "Bacterial small subunit ribosomal RNA", at positions 40 to 1242 of the family's 1533-position model. Lineage: Bacteria; Pseudomonadati; Bacteroidota; Sphingobacteriia; Sphingobacteriales; Sphingobacteriaceae. The record is from RNAcentral.
AGGGGGGCCCAAUAAUGCAAGUCGGACGGGAUUGAAUUAUAGCUUGCUUUAAUUUCAUGAGAGUGGCGCACGGUUGCGUAACGCGUGAGCAACCUACCCAUAUCAGGGGGAUAGCCUCUCGAAAGAGAGAUUAACACCGCAUAACAUCAUUAACCGGCAUCGGAUUAUGAUCAAAUAUUUAUAGGAUAUGGAUGGGCUCGCGUGACAUUAGCUAGUUGGAGGGGUAACGGCCCACCAAGGCUACGAUGUCUAGGGGCUCUGAGAGGAGAAUCCCCCACACUGGUACUGAGACACGGACCAGACUCCUACGGGAGGCAGCAGUAAGGAAUAUUGGUCAAUGGAGGGAACUGUGGGCCAGCCAUGCCGCGUGCAGGAUGACUGCCCUAUGGGUUGUAAACUGCUUUUGUCAGGGAAUAAACCUUUCCACGUGUGGGAAGCUGAAUGUACCUGAAGAAUAAGGAUCGGCUAACUCCGUGCCAGCAGCCGCGGUAAUACGGAGGAUCCAAGCGUUAUCCGGAUUUAUUGGGUUUAAAGGGUGCGUAGGCGGUCCUAUAAGUCAGUGGUGAAAGACGGCAGCUUAACUGUCGCAGUGCCUUUGAUACUGUAGGACUUGAAUCUAUUUGAAGUGGGCGGAAUAAGACAAGUAGCGGUGAAAUGCAUAGAUAUGUCUUAGAACUCCGAUUGCGAAGGCAGCUCACUAAGUUAGUAUUGACGCUGAUGCACGAAAGCGUGGGGAUCAAACAGGAUUAGAUACCCUGGUAGUCCCCGCCCUAAACGAUGAUAACUCGAUGUUUGCGAUACACAGUAAGCGUCCAAGCGAAAGCGUUAAGUUAUCCACCUGGGGAGUACGGUCGCAAGGUUGAAACUCAUAGGAAUUGACGGGGGCCCGCACAAGCGGAGGAGCAUGUGGUUUAAUUCGAUGAUACGCGAGGAACCUUACCCGGGCGUGAAAGCUAGUGAAUGAUCCAGAGACGGAUCAGUCCUUCGGGACACGAAACUAGGUGCUGCAUGGCUGUCGUCAGCUCGUGCCGUGAGGUGUUGGGUUAAGUCCCGCAACGAGCGCAACCCCUAUGUUUAGUUGCCAGCACAUUAAAGGUGGGGGACUCUAACAGACUGCCAUCGUAAGCUGUGAGGUAUGGUGAGACGACGAUCAGUCAUCAUGAUCCUGUACGUUCCGGCGGCUGCACACGUGCCUAACGAUUGGAAUGG